UGAGGAAUAUUGGACAAUGGGUUAGCGCCUGAUCCAGCCAUCCCGCGUGAAGGACGACGGCCCUAUGGGUUGUAAACUUCUUUUGUACAGGGAUAAACCUACCCUCGUGAGGGUAG
Molecule: ribosomal RNA, 116 nt
Filed under: uncultured bacterium
Lineage: Bacteria
Description: partial 16S ribosomal RNA
Rfam family: Bacterial small subunit ribosomal RNA
Source: RNAcentral